UGGGGAAUAUUGGACAAUGGGGGCAACCCUGAUCCAGCCAUGCCGCGUGAGUGAUGAAGGCCUUAGGGUUGUAAAGCUCUUUCACCCGGGACGAUAAUGACGGUACCGGGAGAAGAAGCCCCGGCUAACUUCGUGCCAGCAGCCGCGGUAAUACGAAGGGGGCUAGCGUUGUUCGGAAUCACUGGGCGUAAAGCGCACGUAGGCGGACCGUUAAGUCGGAGGUGAAAUCCUGGGGCUCAACCCCAGAACUGCCUUCGAUACUGGCGGUCUCGAGUCCGGAAGAGGUGAGUGGAACUGCCAGUGUAGAGGUGAAAUUCGUAGAUAUUGGCAAGAACACCAGUGGCGAAGGCGGCUCACUGGUCCGGUACUGACGCUGAGGUGCGAAAGCGUGGGGAACAAACAGGAUUAGAUACCCUGGUAGUCCACGCCGUAAACGAUGAAUGCCAGCCGUCGGGCAGCAUGCUGUUCGGUGGCGCAGCUAACGCUUUAAGCAUUCCGCCUGGGGAGUACGGUCGCAAGAUUAAAACUCAAAUGAAUUGACGGGGUCAUAGCUGUUU
Molecule: ribosomal RNA, 557 nt
Filed under: uncultured bacterium
Lineage: Bacteria
Description: partial 16S ribosomal RNA
Rfam family: Bacterial small subunit ribosomal RNA
Source: RNAcentral